AAAAGACGGAAGUCGUAGCAGGCAGGGAGCUGGGCAGGGGCUGGAUCUGGACGGCCCAAACAAUCCGAGGGCCUGUCAUUACCAGUCUGGAGACUUUCCUGUAGUCCAAGUAGAGGACACACUGUCCAUUCACCUGGCACACAAACUGCCGAACCUAAAAGACAUGAUGUGAGCUGCUGCAGGGCUUCCACGGUCAACAGCCUGUACAUAACAGGGAGCCAUGCCUCUGACAACAAAGCCCCAGCCCAGGGCAUCUCCUAUCACCUGUGAUGAGAUACAUUACACAUUAUGUAGAAAUGAAAUGGAAUUUAUAUAGUUUGCUAUUGUUAAGAUACAACUUAAUUAGUCCACAUGGAAAAAUACUCUCCAGGAAUGUGUUUCAUCUUGUUUCUAAUGUUAACUAUGAAUCGACCUAAGUAUGUUGAUGCUUUGUUUAAAUGGUUAACAGAUGAGAAUUGUGUUGAUAUCACAGAACCUGUAGGCAAAAGGUAACCCCAAUGAAGUUUUAAUUUUAUAAGAGUAUUUUAGUUUUGUCCCUUACUGACAUCAAAGAUUAAUGCUUUAAUGAUCCACCUUUCAACUUUGGAGGACUGUUUUUACUGAAUUAAUGCUGUUAAAAUCCUAGACAUGACAAAAAUGUUAGCUUUUAAAUAGCCAUGAUUAAAUCAUUACAGUAACUCACCGUCAACACUCUCUUGAUGAAAGGUGCACCAGGUGCCAAUAACUCUUCACAUGUAUAAUUUCUUCUAAGCACUGUAAAAAAAAAUAUUAAAAGAUAUCAGUUUUGGACCACAGUAUACCAAAUACUUUGUCUUUAAAGACAUUUUGAAAUGUGUUACAUGAAUAUUAAUCACACACUUGCCUGAUUUAGGAUU
Molecule: long non-coding RNA, 875 nt
Organism: Perca fluviatilis (European perch)
Lineage: Eukaryota; Metazoa; Chordata; Actinopteri; Perciformes; Percidae
Exons: 3
Source: RefSeq, a predicted model, not a curated record